CCUACGGGUGGCAGCAGUGAGGAAUAUUGGUCAAUGGCCGGAAGGCUGAACCAGCCAUGCCGCGUGAAGGUCAGUGCCCUAUGGGCGUUAAACUUCUUUUGUGCGGGAGCAAUAAUGGUCACGUGUGGCCACACGAGAGUACCGUACGAAUAAGCAUCGGCUAACUCCGUGCCAGCAGCCGCGGUAAUACGGGGGAUGCAAGCGUUAUCCGGGUUUAUUGGGUUGAAAGGGUGCGUAGGCUGUGAGGUAAGUCAGCGGGGAAAUGCCGCCGCUCAACGGGGUGAAGUGCCAUUGAUACUGCCUUGCUGGAAUGCGGAUGCCGUGGGAGGAAUGUGUGGUGUAGCGGUGAAAUGCAUAGAUAUCACACAGAACACCGAUUGCGAAGGCAUCUCACGAAUCCGCGAUUGACGCUGAUGCACGAAAGCGUGGGUAUCAAACAGGAUUAGAUACCCGGGUAGUC
This 460-nucleotide ribosomal RNA is filed under the name uncultured bacterium. Its description in RNAcentral is "partial 16S ribosomal RNA". It matches the Rfam family "Bacterial small subunit ribosomal RNA", at positions 338 to 795 of the family's 1533-position model. The record is from RNAcentral.